RNAcentral lists this ribosomal RNA (214 nucleotides) under uncultured bacterium. RNAcentral describes it as "partial 16S ribosomal RNA". It matches the Rfam family "Bacterial small subunit ribosomal RNA", at positions 524 to 732 of the family's 1533-position model. The record is from RNAcentral.
UACGGAGGGUGCAAACGUUGCGUCGGAAUUAUUGGGCGUAAAGCGCACGUAGGCGGUCCGCUAAGUCGGAUGUGAAAGCCCUAGGCCUCAACCUGGGAAGGUGCAUUCGAAACUGACGGACUUGAAUAUGGAAGAGGGGUCGCGGAAUUCCCGGUGUAGAGGUGAAAUUCGUAGAUAUCGGGAGGAACACCAGUGGGCGAAGGCGGCGACCUGG